ACUUCGCCUUGUCCUUCCUAAUACGCCACGAGGCAUGGUAGUCUCAAACAGCCUGCACCCAAGCCUCGUGCCGAAAGUUUUGAAGUAGGCGGCGACAUUCGGUUUCGAUAACAUUUGUCGCGUCCUCCUCGUAUCUCUCCUCACACCUAUAGUAGUCUGCAAACGAGACAACACCGAUUAGUACAAUAACUAGCUAUGGUUGAUUUGUAAUUGUGUAAAGGAGAAAUUACCCAGAACUGUCGGAUUACCAUGUCGGCCCUCGUG
This 264-nucleotide long non-coding RNA is filed under the name Hordeum vulgare. Its description in RNAcentral is "long non-coding RNA (HVUL_LNC004578)". The record is from RNAcentral. Lineage: Eukaryota; Viridiplantae; Streptophyta; Magnoliopsida; Poales; Poaceae.